RNAcentral lists this ribosomal RNA (487 nucleotides) under uncultured soil bacterium. RNAcentral's name for it is "bacterial SSU rRNA". It matches the Rfam family "Bacterial small subunit ribosomal RNA", at positions 26 to 518 of the family's 1533-position model. The record is from RNAcentral.
AGAUUGAACGCUGGCGGCAUGCCUAACACAUGCAAGUCGAACGGGAGUAGCAAUACUCUAGUGGCGGACGGGUGAGGAAUACGUAGGAAUUUGCCCUUAAGUGGGGGAUAACCCGGGGAAACCCGGAUUAAUACCGCAUGACCUCGAAAGAGCAAAGUGGGGGAUCGCAAGACCUCACGCUUUUGGAGAAGCCUACGUCGGAUUAGCUAGUUGGUGAGGUAAUGGCUCACCAAGGCGACGAUCCGUAACUGGUCUGAGAGGAUGAUCAGUCACACCGGAACUGAGACACGGUCCAGACUCCUACGGAGCAGCAGUGGGGAAUAUUGGACAAUGGGCGAAAGCCUGAUCCAGCCAUGCCGCGUGUGUGAAGAAGGUCUUCGGAUUGUAAAGCUACUUUAAGGUUGGAGGUAAGGGUUGAACCUAAGUACGUUGCAAUUUGACGUUACCGACAGAAUAAGCAACCGGCUAACUUCGCGCCAGCAGCCGC